GGGGCUGUUAUGUGGUUUUCGACGAUUGAUAUGUCUAUAAACUAAUUAAACAAUGUUUAAAUUAAACUUUUAAAGAAAGCAAACUUGUUUUGCUUAAUUUUCUGAAAAUUCUAAUACCUAGAAAGGUUAAUUAUCGCUAAAACUAAUUUUAAGAAAAAUAUUAAUAAGAUUUUCUAAAUAGUUAUAAUUAUAAUUGUAUUUACUAGACUUUAAUUGUAUACUAAACAAAAUAGUUUUAGUUUUCAAUCGGAUGUAGGUUCAACUCCUACCAGCUCCA
Molecule: non-coding RNA, 277 nt
Filed under: Vischeria punctata
Lineage: Eukaryota; Eustigmatophyceae; Eustigmatales; Chlorobotryaceae
Also listed under: 2 other names
Source: RNAcentral